AACGAACGCUGGCGGCAGGCCUAACACAUGCAAGUCGAGCGGACCCUUCGGGGUUAGCGGCGGACGGGUGAGUAACGCGUGGGAAUAUGCCCUUCUCUACGGAAUAGUCCUGGGAAACUGGGGGUAAUACCGUAUACGCCCUUUGGGGGAAAGAUUUAUCGGGGAAGGAUUAGCCCGCGUUGGAUUAGGUAGUUGGUGGGGUAAUGGCCUACCAAGCCGACGAUCCAUAGCUUGUUUGAGAGGAUGAUCAGCCACACUGGGACUGAGACACGGCCCAGACUCCUACGGGAGGCAGCAGUGGGGAAUCUUAGACAAUGGGGGCAACCCUGAUCUAGCCAUGCCGCGUGAGUGAUGAAGGCCUUAGGGUUGUAAAGCUCUUUCAGCUGGGAAGAUAAUGACGGUACCAGCAGAAGAAGCCCCGGCUAACUCCGUG
RNAcentral lists this ribosomal RNA (433 nucleotides) under uncultured bacterium. RNAcentral's name for it is "partial 16S ribosomal RNA". It matches the Rfam family "Bacterial small subunit ribosomal RNA", at positions 29 to 507 of the family's 1533-position model. The record is from RNAcentral.